CUUCCAUAAUAAUUGUGCACAGAUAUUAUGACCUAUUGGAAUUAAAGAAGCCUAUUUUCACGUUAAUUCCAAGAAACCCAUUUUUCAACUUCAAACUGAUCUCCCAAAUCCUCCCAAAAUCUGAUUUCACGUUUAGUCAUUUUCCAAGAAACCCAUUUUACAGCUUCAAACUUAUCUCCCAAAUUCUCCCAAAAUCAGAUUUAUCAUAAAAUUCUUAAUCAAUUUAAUCUCUAUCAAGCUCCCGCGAAAUUAGGAUAUACUGCUGCAAUGGAAUUACAUAAGAAGUCGAAAGAUGAAUUAGUAAGGUCUCCUUCAAAAAGAAAAGUAGGGUCAAGGUGAAAGCGAUUGAAAAAAAUUGUUACAAGAGGAUGAAAGUAAAAAAUGUAGUUACCGACAUGAUUGGAGAACAUGCAGUUAAUGAAGAACAAGACGAAGUCAGUGAAGAAUUAAAGGUUUAUGUGAACCAUAACAUAGUCACAGAUUUGAAGGGAAAACUUACAGCGACCCAAUUCAAUCAAUUUAAAGAUACAUGUUUUGGAGCAUGUUUUGUGUUGCAAAUGUUCAAAGCGCCAUACGUGAUUACAUAAAAGGAUAUAGGUUGAUGGUUGUCAUUCCAUAGAAUACAAUCGACAAUGUGUUCAUACCAGUGAACGUGGAGCAUAAAAAUCACUGGGUGUUGGCUGUUUUGUGAUUAAUUGACAAACACAUUUAUGUAUAUGAAUCAUACAGAGCAGCAGGUCAUAACUAUCACGUUACAGAAGAAAUUCAAAAGUUUGCUCAGCUUCUGCCAAUGAAUGUUUCAAUGGAGAUUGGAAAUAAUUCGGAUGAUGCAGAAGAUAACCACAUCGCAUACGAAGUGACGUAUGUGAAGGAUAUACCUCAACAAGGAUCAAGAUUUUUUGGAUUGCGGAAUAUACUUGCUAGCAUUUGCCGAGUACCUAAGUGAGGGUGAAGGUAUUCCAGUUCAAUACCUUGAUUCUAAGUUAUACCGCAUCAGAUACGGUGCACUCUUGUGGGAAUAUGCAAUGAAAAAGAUGAAAGACGGGGCUGAUAGCGAUAAUGAGGCACCGCCAAGAAGAACGAGGACACCCGCAAGGUCGAUAAUAGUCAACUUGUUCUGAUUGAUUAGUAUUUUGUACUAGUUCUAUUUUUUGAACUUAUGGUUAAAAUUAAUAUUUUGAUUUUUUGUCAAACAUUAUCAACUUUUCUUUAUAUUCAUAUAUGAUCACAUUAGUUGUUUUAAAUUUAUUUCUGUGUUAUUUCAUAAUUAAUGAGAUGAUCAUGACUUGCCAUGA
Long non-coding RNA from Solanum lycopersicum (tomato), 1295 nucleotides. RefSeq lists it as uncharacterized. The record is from RefSeq and is a predicted model, not a curated record. Lineage: Eukaryota; Viridiplantae; Streptophyta; Magnoliopsida; Solanales; Solanaceae.